Molecule: small RNA, 29 nt
Filed under: Bombyx mori (domestic silkworm)
Lineage: Eukaryota; Metazoa; Arthropoda; Insecta; Lepidoptera; Bombycidae
Description: piRNA piR-bmo-1629833
Source: RNAcentral
UCCAAAAGUAGGUAUGGAACGAUUUGCGC